This 2912-nucleotide ribosomal RNA is filed under the name Aspergillus minisclerotigenes. Its description in RNAcentral is "large subunit ribosomal RNA". It matches the Rfam family "Bacterial large subunit ribosomal RNA". Lineage: Eukaryota; Fungi; Ascomycota; Eurotiomycetes; Eurotiales; Aspergillaceae. The record is from RNAcentral.
AACGAAGUGAAUUGAAAUAUCUUAGUAACUUUAGGAAAAGAAAUCAAACGAGAUUGUUAUUUGGUGCAAACUAAAUAACAAGAGCCUAUUAACAAAACUUGUUAAAGUAAAAUGGAUUAAAAUCUGUUUGAAUAUAGGGGAACCUUCCUCUAAGGCUAAAUAUGAUAUAUAAGCGAUAGUGAAAAGUACCGUGAGGUAAAAUUUGAAAUAGUAGUUUUAUAAGCAGCUCGAGUGAAAAUUUAAAUAAGUAAUAAGAGUGUACCUUUUGCAUAAUGGGUCAGCAAGUUAAUUUUAGAUGCAAGCAAUGAUUUCGUGCGCUUUGCGCAUGGAGCUAGCUUAGAUAAACCAAUUAUGAGAAAAUGAAUAAGUAUCUAGAAUUAGACCCGAAGGCUAGUGAUCUUACCAUGGUCAGGAUUAUAAAAGUCCGAACGGGUUAUCGUUGUAUAGAUAUCCGAAGAAUUGUGGUAAGUUAGUGAAAGACAAAACUGACUAGUAUAGCUGGUUUUCCGCGAAACCUAUAUGAGUAGGUAAUUUAACUAACAUCUUAGCAGGUACAGAACUGUGAUCUCGGACAAUAUCUUUUGAUUUUGUCAACAUCGGGGGGUUGUAGUGACUUUACCGGAGAGUAUUUGCACUCGGAAUGGCAAAGAUGAAUGUUGAAUAAUCGGACAUAGUGCGAUAAGGUUGUAUGUCUAAAGGGAAACAGCCCAGAACAAGAGUUAAGGUUCCAAAAUUAUUGUUGAGUGAAAUUAAGGAUGUUUUUUUUAAAAACAAUCAGGAAAUAGGCUUAGAAGCGGCCAUUUUUUGAAGACCUCGUAACAGAGCACUGAUUAAUUAAAUUUAGAAAAAAACACCGAAAAUUUAACGGAUCUAAACAAUAUACCGAAACCUUGUACACAUAUUUAUAAUAUUAAUAUUGUAUAUGUGGGGUAGCGGAACAUUGGAUAAAUAUUAAUUAUUAUUUCUUCUAAGAAGUAAUAAGUAUGGAUUAUUAUUAAAAAUAUUUAUUUAUUAAAGAUAUUUAUGUAAUAUUAUUAUACCUAAAAGGUAUAAUGUUUAGAUGAAUAUAUAGAUAGAUUAUAUCUGUCUUUAUUAUUAAUAUAAUCCAUCGAUAUAAUCCAAGAGAGAAUGCUGACAUGAGUAACGAAAAAGGAAUAUCCUCGCCUUAAGCUUAUGGUAUUAUAUUUAAUUUUCGGUAUCUAAAAGUAUUAAUCAAAAGGUAAUUUUGAUGAUAUUUAUAUAUAAAUACUUAAAAAUAAAAAACAAAACCUUUAACAAGUAAUAAAGGUUCUGGAAAAUUUUUUAUUUUUAUUAAGUGAAGUAUAAUGCAAUAUAGGUAUAUUAUAAUUUAUAUAAUUUUCUUGUUACAAGUUUUCAAGAUUGUAUAGAUUUUAUCUAUAUUAAAUAUAUUUUCUUUUUUAUACUAUUGUAUAAGUAAGGUUUAUAUAUACCGUACCUAGAUACUAUCACAAGUAAGCAAGUAGAGAAUACAAAGGCGUUUGAGUGAACAAUCAUUAAGGAACUCGGCAAAUUGACUACCGUAACUUCGGGAUAAGGAGGGCCAUUAUGAUUAGUUUAACAUAUCUUAUGAUAUGAUUUAAUUAAACUAAUCAUAAGAGGAAACAUGAAAUAAUGUUGUACGACUGUUUAAUAAAAACACAGCACUCUGCAAAGAUAAAAUAUCAAAGUAUUGAGUGUGAUGUCUGCCCAAUGUCGGCUGGGUAACGGAUUUACCUUGGUUUUUAACUGAGGUUUUGAAGGAUACCCCGAUUAAUGGCGGCCUUACCUAUGAGGGUCCUAAGGUAGCGAAAUACCUUGGCCGUUAAAUGCGGUCCUGCAUGAAUGACUUAACGAUACAACAGCUGUCUCGAUGAUUGUCUCAGUGAAAUUGGAAUAGCAGUGCAGAUACUGUUUACCUCUAGAUAGACGAGAAGACCCUAUGCAGCUUUACUGUUACUAAUUGCAAGAGUGGAAAUUUAGGAUGAUUUCGAGUGUAUAAGGUAGUUGUUUGAUAACAAUGAAACACCUUUAUUCGUUUCCUACUAUAUGCUCUUGAGGAUUGGGAGGCAGUUUAUGCGGGGCACAGAUCCCACAAAAAGUACCUGGGUAUAUCCAAAGUUCAUUUUGUAAAUUUGUAAAUUUCUUUACAAAUAUUUUAAUUUGUUAUAAUUAUAUUCAUAAUUAUACAGUUAUUGUUAGAUUAAGUUCAAUAUUUAUUUUUUAUUUAAGUAAGAUUUUAACUAUAUGGUGAAUAGAUGUAUUUUAAACUUUACCCGGGGAGGGAGUGAUCCAACUCCGGGAUAUUUAAAAGUUUUUUCUCAUAUUAAUAUUGUAUUUUAUCUUUAUUGAUAUGAUAAUUAAUUAUACUUUAAAAGUUUAAUGGCUAAAUCUUGCUUUACUGUUUGACCUACAAGUCUAUCAGUCGCGUAAGCGGGGCAUAUGAUCACAAGAUGCAUAAAGGAAAGGUCUUGGAUUAUAGAAAAAGUUACGCUAGGGAUAACAGGCUAAUUUGCGCAAGAGAGUACAAAUUGAGUGCGCGGUUUGGCACCUCGAUGUCGGCUUAGCUCAUCCACAUGAAUGCAAAAAUCAUGAAGGGUUCGACUGUUCGUCGAUUAAAGAGCUACAUGAGCUGGGUUUAAUACGUCGUGAGACAGUAUGGUUUCUAUCUUCUAGAGGGAAUUAAAGUAGAAUAAAGAUAGCCCCUUCGUACGAAAGGAGUUGGGUAUAUUGACCUAUGGUUUACCUGUUGUUUAUGUUAUAUAUUAUUAUACAUAAUAUAUCAUUUACUUAUACUUAAGUAAAUUGUUCACAUAGGCAUGGCAGGAAGGCUACGUCAGUUAAAGAUAAGUGCUGAAAGCAUUUAAGCGCGAAGCUUACUUUAGGAUACUUUUAAACGUAGUAGAACACUACGA